RNAcentral lists this ribosomal RNA (427 nucleotides) under uncultured bacterium. RNAcentral's name for it is "bacterial SSU rRNA". It matches the Rfam family "Bacterial small subunit ribosomal RNA", at positions 355 to 774 of the family's 1533-position model. The record is from RNAcentral.
UGGGGAAUUUUGGACAAUGGGCGAAAGCCUGAUCCAGCCAUGCCGCGUGAGUGAAGAAGGCCUUCGGGUUGUAAAGCUCUUUUAGUCGGAAAGAAAGAGUUGCAAUGAAUAAUUGUGAUUUAUGACGGUACCGACAGAAAAAGCACCGGCUAACUACGUGCCAGCAGCCGCGGUAAUACGUAGGGUGCGAGCGUUAAUCGGAAUUACUGGGCGUAAAGGGUGCGCAGGCGGUCUUGCAAGUCAGAUGUGAAAGCCCCGGGCUUAACCUGGGAAUUGCGGUUGAAACUACAAGACUAGAGUGCAGCAGAGGGGAGUGGAAUUCCAUGUGUAGCAGUGAAAUGCGUAGAGAUGUGGAAGAACACCGAUGGCGAAGGCAGCUCCCUGGGUUGACACUGACGCUCAUGCACGAAAGCGUGGGGAGCAAACA